RNAcentral lists this unclassified non-coding RNA (240 nucleotides) under Ophiosphaerella sp. Its description in RNAcentral is "partial internal transcribed spacer region". The stretch from base 1 to 46 matches the Rfam family "Eukaryotic small subunit ribosomal RNA", at positions 1786 to 1831 of the family's 1831-position model. Lineage: Eukaryota; Fungi; Ascomycota; Dothideomycetes; Pleosporales; Phaeosphaeriaceae. The record is from RNAcentral.
AAGUCGUAACAAGGUUUCCGUAGGUGAACCUGCGGAAGGAUCAUUACAUGAUAGUACAGGCCCGAAGCUGUAGCAAUACACGCCCAAAGGCUCAUGUCUAUUACCCUUGUUUAUCGAGCACCUAUGUUUCCUUGGUGGGCUUGCCCGCCAAUAGGACACCCCAUUAACCCAUUUUAUUUUGAAUCAGCGUCUGAAUAAAUUGAAUAAUUACAACUCUCAACAACGGAUCUCUUGGUUCUG